This 117-nucleotide small nuclear RNA is filed under the name Varanus komodoensis (Komodo dragon). RNAcentral's name for it is "U2 spliceosomal RNA (ENSVKKG00000010657.1)". It matches the Rfam family "U2 spliceosomal RNA". From Rfam's summary of the family: U2 is a small nuclear RNA (snRNA) component of the spliceosome (involved in pre-mRNA splicing). Lineage: Eukaryota; Metazoa; Chordata; Lepidosauria; Squamata; Varanidae. The record is from Rfam by way of RNAcentral.
AGAGCUUCUCGGUCUUUUGGCUGAGAUCAAGUGUCGUAUCUGUUCUUAUCAGUUUAAUCAGAGUUUAUAAAACAGUAAACGGAAAAGCCUGGCUCUAUUCAGAGUCAGUCAGCUCUU